RNAcentral lists this ribosomal RNA (253 nucleotides) under uncultured bacterium. RNAcentral's name for it is "partial 16S ribosomal RNA". It matches the Rfam family "Bacterial small subunit ribosomal RNA", at positions 524 to 776 of the family's 1533-position model. The record is from RNAcentral.
UACGAAGGGGGCUAGCGUUGCUCGGAAUCACUGGGCGUAAAGGGUGCGUAGGCGGGUCUUUAAGUCAGGGGUGAAAUCCUGGAGCUCAACUCCAGAACUGCCUUUGAUACUGAAGAUCUUGAGUUCGGGAGAGGUGAGUGGAACUGCGAGUGUAGAGGUGAAAUUCGUAGAUAUUCGCAAGAACACCAGUGGCGAAGGCGGCUCACUGGCCCGAUACUGACGCUGAGGAGCGAAAGCGUGGGGAGCGAACAGG